This 328-nucleotide ribosomal RNA is filed under the name uncultured eukaryote. RNAcentral describes it as "partial 18S ribosomal RNA". It matches the Rfam family "Eukaryotic small subunit ribosomal RNA", at positions 1470 to 1796 of the family's 1831-position model. The record is from RNAcentral.
CCCUUAGAUGUCCUGGGCCGCACGCGCGUUACACUGAUGCAUUCAACGAGCUUAUAACCUUGGCCGAGAGGCCUGGGCAAUCUUGUUAACGUGGAUCGUGAUAGGGAUAGAUUAUUGAAAUUAUUAAUCUUGAACGAGGAAUUCCUAGUAAACGCAGAUCAUCAAUCUGCAUUGAUUACGUCCCUGCCCUUUGUACACACCGCCCGUCGCACCUACCGAUUGGAUGGUCCGGUGAAGCCUCGGGAUUGUGGUUCUUGCCGCUUUAUUGUGGCGUGACCGCGAGAACUUGUCUAAACCUUAUCAUCUAGAGGAAGGUGAAGUCGUAACA